CUUUAAUGUUGUUAUUCAAGUGUGAUAGAAUUUAGACUGGCAUUUCUAUUAUGCCCAUCAGAAAAUACAAUAAUAACAAUAAUAGGUAGAUGUAGAUUAUUACAUCCAAGGGAGUGAUUACAUAGGAUGCAAUGAUAGUCCUGAAAGUUAUUAUCAGCGCAAGUUAUCAUAGUGUAUUGGAGGGUAAUGGAGGUCACAGCUCAGAGGAAAAAUAUAUACCUCAGUUUGUUUGUGUAGGAUUGCAUUAGUCUGUAUCGUUUGCCUGAUGCAAAAGUUCAAAUAUAAGGUGACUGGUGUAUGAAGUGUCUGAAAUGAUGCUAUUUUUCUUGUCCUGAGACGACUGAUGUAGACAUCCUCAAGAUGGGACCUCCAAUCUUACCGCACGCUGUGCAAUCUUCACCAUAUGGUGUAGAUCCUUCUACUCGGCAGCUGUGCAGCUUCUGUAUCACAACGUGAUGCCGUUUGUGAGGAAGUUUACUCACAUUUUAACAUCGUAAACUGAUAUUUAUUAGUAACCACUUUGUUAGCUCAGCAUUUUUAGGAUAUCUCAGACUUCAGCUAAGAAUUGUGCAAAAUUCAAAUUCUAAUAAUUCAUAUCUUUUAAAGUCUAAGGUUUUACAUAAAAAAUAGCUACUUCUUACCAGGUCUUAAUAUUAGGUAACUACAGCCUCACAUGAAGAAGAACACAUAACAUAUUACAUUGUGUCAUUUCUUAUUUAAUAAACUUUUUUUUUGUUUGUUGCCUGUCCCGUUUGGAUCUUUAACCAUCAGAAUUGUUGUCUGAAGGCCAAGAAAGAUGCCAAGCGGAUUUACUUUACCAGUUGGAUCAUCAUGGCCUUACCAUAUUGGUCCAUUUGAUUGACCUUUAAUAUAAUUAUGUAUUUAUUUGAUUUUAUUUUCGGCUGUUACAGACAGGACAGACAUGAUUGGGGGACAGGACAGGGAGGAAGAAUGAACGAAAGAGCGGGAGAGAAAGAAAAAUAGAGGGGAGAAGAGAUGGUGAGAAGGGGGAAGAAAAAAAAAAGGAAAACAAACAAAACACCUGGAUCACCUGUAUGGAGAUAAGAAAAAAAAAAAAACAGAAGAGAAAACAAACAAAAAAGAGCAACAUAACAAAUACAACACCAUCACAAUUACCACACAAAUUAGCUAACAGUAGAUACCAAAUAUUACAUGUUAUUGUGCAGCACACAAGAUCGACAGCGCACAAUGUGCUUUUAGGUAGCAGCCAAGAAAGGUGUAGUUUGUGUCUGUGAACACCUGUGUGUACACCUGUGUGCUCACCCAUGUGUACACCUGUGUGCAUCAGCACGCUUGUAUUCAAAAGGUUUCUCCAUGUAACAAUUUGUUAGGGUUCAGAAACAACCUUGAAAACCUUUCUGCUAUUUUCCGCUUGGAAGGACGAGACUUUCUCAUGAAACCCCUCCAAUCAAACCAUACUUGAUC
Astatotilapia calliptera (eastern happy) is the source of this 1446-nucleotide long non-coding RNA. The record is from Ensembl. NCBI's taxonomy places the organism in Eukaryota, Metazoa, Chordata, Actinopteri, Cichliformes, Cichlidae.